Molecule: ribosomal RNA, 115 nt
Filed under: Chelonoidis abingdonii (Abingdon island giant tortoise)
Lineage: Eukaryota; Metazoa; Chordata; Testudines; Testudinidae
Source: RNAcentral
GUCUGCAGCCAGCCCAUCGUCUGUUGUGAUCCAGUUAGAGCUCAAAGCUAAGCAGGGCCCAGCCUGGCCAUUGCUAGGAUGGGAGAUGUAAGGGGACAAAUGGGUGCUGCAGAAA